RNAcentral lists this ribosomal RNA (468 nucleotides) under uncultured bacterium. RNAcentral describes it as "partial 16S ribosomal RNA". It matches the Rfam family "Bacterial small subunit ribosomal RNA", at positions 28 to 507 of the family's 1533-position model. The record is from RNAcentral.
GACGAACGCUGGCGGCGUGCUUAACACAUGCAAGUCGAACGGAAAGGCCCUGCUUUUGUGGGGUGCUCGAGUGGCGAACGGGUGAGUAACACGUGAGUAACCUGCCCUUGACUUUGGGAUAACUUCAGGAAACUGGGGCUAAUACCGGAUAGGAGCUCCUGCUGCAUGGUGGGGGUUGGAAAGUUUCGGCGGUUGGGGAUGGACUCGCGGCUUAUCAGCUUGUUGGUGGGGUAGUGGCUUACCAAGGCUUUGACGGGUAGCCGGCCUGAGAGGGUGACCGGCCACAUUGGGACUGCGAGACGGCGCAGAAGCCUACGGGAGGCAGCAGUGGGGAAUAUUGCGGAAUGGGGGGAAGCCUGAGGCAGCAACGCCGCGUGCGGGAUGACGGCCUUCGGGUUGUAAACAGCUUUCGCCUGUGACGAAGCGGGAGUGACGGUAAUGGGUAAAGAAGCACCGGCUAACUACGUG